RNAcentral lists this long non-coding RNA (375 nucleotides) under Homo sapiens (human). RNAcentral's name for it is "non-protein coding lnc-DLL1-4:2". Lineage: Eukaryota; Metazoa; Chordata; Mammalia; Primates; Hominidae. The record is from RNAcentral.
CGCCGUUCUCCACGUGCUCAAGGGCACCGCCGUUCUCCAGGUGCUCACGGGCACUGCCGUUCUCCAUGUACUAAAGGGCACCGCCGUUCUCCAUGUACUAAAGGGCACUGCAGUUCGCUGCAUGCUCAAGGGCACUGCUGCUCUCCACUCGUUCAAGGUCACCGCAGCUCUCCACGGCUUAACGGCACCACCGGUCUCCACGUGCAGCCAGGGCACCACCACUCUCCACCCGCUCAAGGUCACCGCUGCUCUCCACACUCAAGGUCACUGUCGCUCUCUGUGGCUCAAGGGGAUUGGGGGCUGCAGUCACUGUUCUGUCUCUACUGAUGGCCAGGCAGACACAUGGAAAAGUGAAGCAGCUUUUUAUGGAUGGAC